This 1993-nucleotide ribosomal RNA is filed under the name Heterodera glycines (soybean cyst nematode). RNAcentral describes it as "eukaryotic LSU rRNA". It matches the Rfam family "Eukaryotic large subunit ribosomal RNA", at positions 780 to 2676 of the family's 3401-position model. The record is from RNAcentral. RNAcentral also lists the same sequence under 1 other name. Lineage: Eukaryota; Metazoa; Nematoda; Chromadorea; Rhabditida; Heteroderidae.
UGCGAUGGGGCGAGACAGAGCGUAUGCGCUGAGACCCGAAAGAUGGUGACUAUUUCCUGAGCAGGAUGAAGCCAGAGGAAACUCUGGUGGAAGUCCGAAGCGAUUCUGACGUGCAAAUCGAUCGUCUGACUUGGGUAUAGGGGCGAAAGACUAAUCGAACCAUCUAGUAGCUGGUCCCUCCGAAGUUUCCCCCAGGAUAGCUGGAGCUCGUUAAGCAGUUAUACUCGGUAAAGCGAAUGAUUAGAGGACUUGGGGACGAAAUGUCCUUAACCUAUUCUCAAACUCUAAAUGGGUAUGAAGCCAGGGUUGCUUGACUCUGAACCCAGGCGUUGAAUGUUUGAGCUCCAAGUGGGCCAUUUUUGGUAAGCAGAACUGGCGAUGUGGGAUGAACCAAACGUGGAGUUAAGGUGCCAAAGUGCCCGCUCAUUAGACCCCAUAAAAGGUGUUGGUUGAUAUAGACAGCAGGACGGUGGCCAUGGAAGUCGGAAUCCGCUAAGGAGUGUGUAACAACUCACCUGCCGAAUCAACUAGCCCUGAAAAUGGAUGGCGCUGGAGCGGGCCACCUAUACUCCACCGUCAUUGGCUUGUACACGUGCUUGUCGCGUAGUCUGGCCAUGACGUGUAGGAGGGUCGUGGUGGUUGCGUUGAAGGCUUUGGGCGUGGGCCCGGCCGGAGCUUCCACCAGUGCAGAUCUUGGUGGUAGUAGCAAAUAUUCAAGUGAGAUCCUUGAAGACUGAAGUGGAGAAGGGUUCCACGUGAACAGCAGUUGAAUGUGGGUCAGCCGAUCCUAAGGCACCGGCUAACGCCGUAACACACUACGGAUGACGACUUUUCUGUGCUUGCGCAGUUGGUCCAUCCGGUUGCCGAAAGGGAAGUGGGUUAACAUUCCCACGCCAGGCUAGGGAAAUGACGGUUCGCAAGAGCUGUUUUGCGCGGUAACGCAAAUGAACUCGCAGACGUCGUGUGGAGUCCGAGCCAGAGUUCUCUUUUCUGGUUUAGGGUGUGCGUGCCUGGAAGUGGCUCAGCCUGAGAUAGGGAUGUUGCGCCCGUAAAGCACCGCGGUUCCCUGUGUGUCUCGUGCGCUCCACACGGCCCUUGAAAAUGCGAGGGAAGCUAUUUGAAUCUCCUGCCUGAUCGUACCGAUAUCCGCAGCAGGUCUCCAAGGUGAACAGCCUCUAGUCGAUAGAAUAAUGUAGGUAAGGGAAGUCGGCAAAUUAGAUUCGUAACUUCGGGAAAAGAAUUGGCUCUAAAGGUCGGGUCAGCCGGGCUGUUGCGUGAAACAGGCGGCUUUUGCCCGUGGCUGCGUGCUGUUCUUUCGGGGAUGGUGCGUGGACUAGUGGUGAGAGCUGCUUGUGGAGCGCUUCAGCUGCGUGUAUGCUCGUCAGGGUAUGCACUUCGGUUGGCGCUGAACGACCAGUUUAGAACUGGCACGAACUCGGGGAAUCCGACUGUCUAAUUAAAACAGAGGAGACGGAUGGUCCUUGUGGACGUUGACCGUGUCUGAUUUCUGCCCAGUGCUCUGAAUGUUAAGCCAAGGAAACUUGAUUAAGCGCGGGUAAACGGCGGGAGUAACUAUGACUCUCUUAAGGUAGCCAAAUGCCUCGUCGGCUAACUACCGACGCGCACGAAUGGAUCAACGAGAUUCCCACUGUCCCUAUCUACUAUCUAGCGAAACCACAGCCAAGGGAACGGGCUUGGCAAAUUUAGCGGGGAAAGAAGACCCUGUUGAGCUUGACUCUAGUCUGACUUUGUGAAGAAUCAUGAGAGGUGUAGCAUAAGUGGGAGCCGCAAGGCGCCAGUGAAAUACCACUACUUUCAUCGAUUCCUUACUUAAUCGGUAAAACGGGAGUGCGCCCGAAAGGGUGUCCAUUUUGGUGUUAAGUCGGGCCACCCGGUGGCCCGGCGACCCGCGCCGAUGACAGUGUCAGGCGGGGAGUUUGACUGGGGCGGUACAUCUGUCAAAGCGUAACGCAGGUGUCCUAAGGCGAGCUCA